This 286-nucleotide long non-coding RNA is filed under the name Nicotiana benthamiana. RNAcentral's name for it is "long non-coding RNA (NBEN_LNC033245)". Lineage: Eukaryota; Viridiplantae; Streptophyta; Magnoliopsida; Solanales; Solanaceae. The record is from RNAcentral.
UCCUUCUGAGAUUCUGAGAGCCAGACUUCUUUCUUUAUUUGGAGCAUCCAUCUUCAUAGUUUGCCUUCUCAAUUCGUAAGUAGUCAAGUUUCCAAUCAGUUCAUCCAAUUUCAGAGUAGAAAUAUUUUUGGAUUCCUGAAUGGCAGUGAUUUUACUUUCCCAAGAGAUUGGCAAAACUCUAGUUAGAAUCUUCUCUACCUUGUAUUCUUCUAGAAUGACCCUUCCAAGAAACUCAAGUUCAUUUGUCAAUGUAGUGAACCUAAUGUACAUCUCUUGGAUAGUUUCA